UUCACAGAGAACUGGGAGCAGUCAUGUGUGGCCACAGCACGGGGUGCAAGGAGGGAGUGGUGGGAGAUGGGACGGAAAGGUAUCGUGAGGUCAGAGCCGGAAGGGCCUGCAGAGGCCCAGUGAGGAGCCUGUGCUGGAUUCGGUUCCACGGGAAGGUGACCUCACUGGGGAGGCCGGAGCCGACCCUGCCCCUUCUCAGCCCCCUCUGAGUGCAGGCCCGGGAGAAGGGCAUGGGGCAGAAACUGGCAGAGGAGUCAUCGCCCGGCUUGUUUCUUCACCAGGAAACAAGGUUUCCUGUAACUCAGACCGUGAAUCAGCAUUUCCUCUGUCAAUAAUACACAGAGAGAAAUGCAACAGCACAGGGCUUGGGGGGGGAAUGGAAGACAGGAAGGAAUAUUCCAUGACACGCUGGGCUCUGUUCUCCUUUCCCCCUCCCCGCGAAACACUCCUGAUAAGUUCCCAAACGACACUCGGGCUUCCUACGAGACGUCUCGAAGACAGCUUCACGGUAUCACGAGACGUGUAAAAUUGGUGUUAACUCUGUUGAAGAAUUCGUCAGUGAAACCAUCUGAGACUGGGGAUUUCCUUUUUGAGAGCUUUUAAAAUUGAGAAACUUGGACAUGGAGGGAGACACACACACAGACAGAAUGCCAUGUCAAGAUGAGAGCAGAGAUCAGGAAGAUACUUUUUCAAGCCAAGGAAUGCCAAGACUGCCAGCAAGUAGCCAGAGGCUAGGAGAGAGGCACGGAACAAAUUCUCCCUCACAGCCUCACAAGGAACACUCUGAUCUCAGACUUGCACCCUUCGGAGCCGUGAGGAAAUAAGCUUUUGUCGUGUGAGCCUCCCAGUUUAUGAUACCUUGUUACAACAACCCGAGCAAACGAAGACACUCCUCUUCCCCAACAGCCAGUAUGCAGGAGACCCAGCACCAGAAGGAUCCGGAGCGAAAAGUCAGGAAAAUGUUAGAACUACCUGAGAGGCUCAGACACCAUCUUUGUCAUUUUAUUCCAAAUAAACACAGCACCAGCAGAGAGGGUCUGCAUGUCCAACUUCUCAGGGACAAACUUUUUGCCACUGUAGAGAAAGUUAACUGCUAAAACUACAUAAAAUCGAUUGUCCAUGUGGUCAUGCAUAGGUCAUGCUCCAGUUUGUUCUAUGAUGGAGUAAAGAAAAUAUGUGUCCUUCCAGGCAAAAUAUAAAAGUAAAGACAAUCUAUGGCAAAAAAAAUAAGGCUAUAGAUUCACAAGGGUACCUUCGCUGAUGUCUUCCUAGGGACAAAGGCAGACACUCCGUUUUGCAGCCAAAAUGGGCCGGGUGAGUAUGUACCUCUGACCUAUGAACAGCAAAUGAAAGUGGCAAAAGCAGAAGCAUAGAGGAGUUUAUGCAAGUCUCCCAUGCCUUCCUCCUCCACUGCCACAGAGGCCCCGGACGUCACUUACAGAAGGAAGGGAGGCACAAAAUUAAAGUAGACCGGAUCCUUAAGCCUCUGAUUGGAAGGGAGCCGCCUCGGAAAACCAUCCGACCCUCAGUGAAGCUUCUGCAAGAAAUAAAUAGUUGCCUAUGAGAUUUGGGGGGGGGGGGGGGAUAAUCGAACCUGGCACUAUGGCCUGACUCAGACGAUGAUGAUGGCCUUCACCUUGGCAACCUGUAUUGGACCUGUGUACUAUUCAAAAACAAAAUAAAUAAUAAGCGAGUGGAGAAAUAUUCACUUGGAAUUUCUCGUGUGUCUUGUUACACACGAGAAGAGCCCAUUGGUAGAAGAGCCCACCCCAACUAUGUUCAUGUGACUUCCUCUGAAAACACAGACCCUGGACCCCACAGUAAAGGAAAGGCCUCCUUGGCAUUCCUGAUGACUUCUCCAGUGGGAGCUUGGACCCUUACAGAUGGAAUGGCGUUUCCCGUUCUGGGCACAACUCUGAUUGUUAGAAAUUUAUUCCUUAGGAUUAUCGAUAAUCAGACUCUCUGUUACCCCCAGCCGCUGGCCUCAGAUCUACUCUUCAGAGCUCUGCAAUAACUAAGAAAAAGUCCAUCCUUCUCCAAAGCUGCUCUCCCCCAGGCUGCUGUUGUAAUCAAAGGAGAUUUCUUUCCAGAAGCCAUGUUAAUCAAACUAUCACUAAUAAGUCAAAUCCCAAUAGAAUGUGGGCCGCAGCAUUGUCCCAAUUAUUUUGUUGUGUUAGGAUUUUAUGCCAUCAAAAAAAUACUUGAAAUAAAUGGGAUUCCACCUGGGGCCUAACAUUCUUUCAGUUAUGGAAAGAUUUGCAUCAUAGCAAUAUUUGUUUUAUUGGGAUUUAACCUGCCCAUCGUUCUGCUGAGUGCCUGAGUAUGAAUGUGGGAAAUAGCUUUCUACCACCAUAAGCUCAGAAAAAAUGUCAGUGAAAUGCUGGCAAAUAGAUUAUGAUUGCAUCGACAGCUCUUUUCAUAAGCUAAUGGGCUGUCUAACCUACUCAUGCCUGCUGUCCCCCAUAGGGUCUUGUGAGCACACUGCCAAGGAGCUCGUUGGAUUUGGCAAAUUGAUACACUGGGCUUGUUUGACUUCCCAUUUCUAUGAAUGAUCGUUAGAUAUUUUAACAAUAUGUUAAUGUGCUUAGAACGCCUAAUGGGGCAUUAGUUAGGCAAAUACACAACUCAGUUGAGAGCUCUCCUGUUAACACAGGCAAAAAUCUAUUCUUUUUCUUAAUAAUGGAUUCCCUUCCUGGUUCAAGUGGAAAAUUUUAAAUGUGUACAUACGCAUGAAGUUUCUUAGUCCUAUAAUUUAUGUUUGAUCGUCAGGACUUGUGUAGAAGAGAUAACACGCCAUUUUACUUGAAGGACUCAAGGAAUCCAACGUGAGGGCUAAAAAACACAUGAAAAACUGGAACCUUGCUAGUAAACAAAAUCUUUUUUUAAUACAUUUUAAGUUCGAAUAUCUAGCAUUGGCAUGGCUGGGGAAAACACUUUUAUACACUCCUUGUGGGAGCAUAAAUUGAGACAAUCUUUCUGAAAUGCAAUUUGGCAAACAUAACAAAAGCCUUUAAAGUGUGCAUACCCUUUGACCCAGACCCAAUGAUUUCACUUCUAGGAAUUUAUUCUAAGGAAGUAACACUGGGUGUGUGCAAAGAUUUAUUUACCAUGCUUAUUUAGAUGCCUAUUGCAACAUUAUUUACAAUAGCAGUAAUUGAAAAAAAACCAAAUAGCUAACAAAAGGAAAUUGGCUUUUUAAGAAACAUGAUACACUUGCUUACCCAACGUGUUAUUACACUGGCCUUAAAAUACGUGUUAUAGAAGAACUAUUAAUAUGAAAACAAAAUCACAAUAUACUGUUAAGAUUUUUUUAAAUACAAGUUUCAAAACCAUAUUUUUAGGAUAUCAGUUUUGCAAACAAGUUUUAAACAAACAUAGAAGAAAACGUACCAAAAUUUAAUAAGGCUUGUGUCUGCAAGUUGGGUUUACGGGCGGUUAUUAGUUCCUUUUUCUCUCUCCUGAAUAUUUCUAAAUAUUUUACAAUGAACACAGUACGCUUGGUAUACAAAAAUAUUAUGAGAUAGAAUCUUACCUGUAAAAGGGAGUCUAAUUUUUCAAGACGCUGCUGUUACUAGGAAAUCAGACACAUUUUUCCUACUGCCUUAACUCACAAUGCCAAGUGAACAUUUCUUUGGCAUUUCUAACUUGUACAGAGCCAAACAGUCUCCAUCUUUAAAGCAAGUCUGAACACCAAUGGACAAUUCCACAAUUAACCAAGAUACCCAACUCAGUUCCAUUUGAAAUGAACAGAGGUGGGGAAUUUUUUUUAAGUUUGUUUGUUUGUUUGUUUGUUUGUUUGUUUUGAGAGAGAGAGAGAGAGAGGGAGGGAGGGAGAGAGAGAGAAAGAGAGAGAGAGAGAAUGAGUCCAUACAUAUUGACAGUAUGGAGCCCAACUUGGGGCUCAAACUCACAAACCAUGAGAUCAUGACCUGAGCCAAAAUCAAGAGUCAGAUGCUUAACCUACUGAGCCACCCGGGUGACCCUGAUGUGGGGAAUUUUUUUAAGCUAGAAAUGGAAUACUAUCAUUACCCAAGAGCAUUAGAUGUGGAGUAUCAGAUGUAGAACUCCUGGGAAAAAGUUCUAGCUCUGACAUUAGCUGGUGACCUCGAGCAAACCUCUUAGUCCUUCCAUGGGACUCUCAGACUGGACCUACACACACACACACACACACACACACACAGAUUUUCUUAAAUAAGGGAUAAGGUCAAUCUAUCCACAGUACUCCCAAGGCAGUCCCACCUUAUAUACUACAUUGCUUUAGCCAUAUCUAGUCUAGAAUCUCCAUAACUAACAACUAGUCAAGACUGAAAUGACACAAAGGAAGGAACUGACUUCUUUUCUUUCUUGACUUUUUGUUUGUUUGAUGUGUGUAAACUAAAGCACAUUUGUGCACAAAGUGCAUAGGUCAUAAGUGUACAGCUUAACAAAAUUGUAAAGUGAAUCCCUGGCAAGCGCUACCCCUGGGAAGAAAUGACCACCACCCAGAAGGACUGCAUGUGCCCCUUUCUUGUAACUCUUGCUUUCUCUCUCUAGAGUCACUGCUCCCCUGACUUUAUUGUGAUCAUUUCCUUGAUUUGCUGUAUGGUUUUAUCACCUAAGUAUGCAUUUCUAGAUAAUACAGUUUACUUGUGUUUAUUUUUGAACUUUAUAUAAAUGGAAUCAUACAAAAAAUAUUGCCAUGAUAAUGAAUAUAAAAGAAUUUUGUAAAGUGUAACGUAUACAUGAGUGAAUGGAAUUAUUAGUAGUAAUACUAUCAUGUGGGUCAUAGGCAUUGAAUUUUCACCCUCCACAGCAGGUGCUGCUUUCAUGAUUUUUACAUCGAAUCAUUUCCUGUCAGGUCUAGACCUCCUCAUCCUUCCAGAUGGUCAGCACAAGCUCCGUUCAGGGACCCAUCAGAGCUCCGUGUUUGUGACUUCUCUGUGCUUGUGACUUCCACCUAGAUGGAAAAAUACCCACCUGAGACUGAGAGGGGUCUGUAAAUACCUGCUUUGUUCAUAAAUUAGCAGGCUUCCCUCUGUUGAGUGAGUUCCCCAGCUAUUAUCAAGGCUCUAAGGUCACAUCUGGUUAAUCGUUGGCUAGAAAUCAAUACACAGAGAGUGAUGGUUUAUGAUAAGGGCUUAUAAUAAGCAAGUUCAAGUUCAAGAGACUGGCUGUCUUUUUGUUCUUAGAUGCUAAAAAGAAGCUGCUAAUCCCCUUUCCUGUUGGGAAAAAACAUAACUCCAUUCACGCUGCUACCUAAAUCAAGAAAUAUUUGAUACAUUCUUUUCAUAGGUACCCUUUCUCUCUUUGGUCAAUGCAUUGUAUCCUUAGGCUCAGCUGCUCAAAUACCAUCUAGAAUAUUUUUCAAUCCCAAGGAAACGCAUCAACUAAUUCUCUAGUGUCACAAGACCUCAGGGAUACAGCUACCCUUUGUCCCAGUUCUGGAACAAUACCGACACUCUUUGAUGUUAGUGGCUACCUUGUGAACUGAUCCAUGGGGCUCCCAGUGCCCGAGGCUCAGUACUGUGGGUUUCCCAACUGGCACUUGGCCAAAGCUUGCCAUUUCUCCUGUGCAACCACCCAUGCAUGUGUACAUGAGCACAUGCGUAUGUGAAUGAGUGGGUGUGUUCAAGCGUGUGUAGGCAUACUAUCUACUCAUUCCACAAGUAGACAGCAUUACCAUGGAUUGUAGCAAUAACAUAAGAAUGCCUUUCAUGUAGUAAAUGUUGAGUGAAUAAGUGAACAAAUGAGCAAUGCUCCCCACCUGGCUUCCUACCCCAACAUUCCUCCUCUUUUCACAACUGAGGCCACUCAAAUUCCACCUUCAGGAUCAACACUGUACCAUUCCCAGGACUAAUUUAGGACUUAAUCAAGCAGAAACUUAGGGAAUUGGUCCAGAUUCUCAAAAGACUCAGAGUUUAGUGUACCUGGCAAAUCCUCCCACAGUGAUAUUGAAUUCAUAUUUGGAUCACCACCUUCUUCCUCUCUCAUAGUACCUUAUGUCACUCAUUUCAAAACACACACACACACACACACACACACACACUACCUUUGUGCUAUUCUGUAGGGUUAUACCCAAGUCUCUGGCAACCACUAAUGUGUUUCCUGUUGCAUCAUUUUGGCCUAUUCCAGAAUAUUACAUAAAUGGGAUCUAGUUAAAACUCACUAACCCUAAAGAGCAAUACAAGGGUGUUUGUUUGUUUGUUUGUUUGUUUUGAAGCUGUCUGUCCUGUUGUUGUAGUGGUUACACAAAUUUAUCCAUAGUUAAAACUCACAGAACUGUACUUUUCAACAUGUCAAUUUAAAAACUAAUACUGAAAAAAAGUCUGAACACACUUAGCAUGUAUUUUCCUAUAUGCAUGCAUAUUAAUAGAAUAAAUCUGUAUUAGCAGUGUAUAACUCAUUUUAAUUUUAAAACAUUGUAAAUAAAAGUUUCAAUGUAAUUAACUGUAUCUGCAUAUCAAGUUUUAAUGGUUGGGUCGUACUACAUUGAAUGGAGAUAACACAUAUUACGUAAGCAAUCCCAUAUUGAAUAUUUGGGCUGUUACAGAUUUCUUCUUUUUUUUAAGUUUAUGUAUUCAUUUUGAGAGACAGAGAGCUCAUGCAUGUGCACAAAUUGGGGGAGGGGCAGAGAGAAAAGGAAGGAGAGAAUCCCAGGCAGGCUCUGUGCUAUCAGCAUGAAGCCCCUUGAGGGGGCUCGAUCUUACAAACCGUGAGAUCAUGACCUGAACCAAAACCAGUAGUCAAACACUUAACUGACUGAGCCACCCGGGGACAACACUGAGUUUUCAAUAUCAUAAAUCCUGCUGUGAUAAUCAUGCUUGCAGUUAAAUAUUUGCACAAAUCCUUCAUUAUACUCUGUAUACAUUUUUAGAAGUAAACUUGUUGGGUCAAGGUAUGAAUUUUUUUUUAAGUUUAUUUCCUUAUUUUAAGACAGAGACAGCACGAGUCGGGGAGGGGCAGAGAGAGAGGGCGAGAGAGAGAGAAACCCAGGCGGGCUCCCUGCUGCCAACUCAGAGCCCAACACAGGGCACGAACUCAAGAAACCCCAAGAUUAUGACACGAGCCGAAACCAAGAGCCGGUCGCUUAACCGACUGAGUCACCCAGAUGCCCCUCAAGAUACGAACUUUUUAAAGGUCUUUAACAUGUUUGUCAAAAUGUCCUUCAGAAAGUGGUACCCAAAUGCUCCACCCCCCCAAGGGGCAAUGAGGAUUUUCUCCUAUGUUCCCCUAUAACCUUGCUCACAUGCUGCUAUUAUAUUAUGUGGAGUUAAAACUUCAAAGUCCCUCCACAUGCAUUGUAGUCAUCUUUGAACAAAACAACUCACAGAGCCUACCACAUUGCCUGACAUAUACAAGGCACCAUUUAAUAUUUGUAUUUGUUUGUUGGCCUGAAUAAAUGGAUAAAUUAAAGAGCUAGUUUUUUCUUUGGUAAUGAAUUUUCCUAUUUGCCACCAAAUACUUUAGAGUUACUUCAUGCACAGUCAUUAAUUCAGCACCUAGAGCAUGAUCUGCGAUAUUUUUUAAUCAAACCUCACGAACCAAAACAUUUGAAGCAUUCAUUCCGAUACAUUUGUUUAUACUUUAUACACACAUACUCACGUCAAUCUGUGCAUUCAAGAAUAAUAAAGCUUAACUCCUUACGUUGAGUUAAAAAUAAGCGUAAAUGAAGUUCUAAUAUUUUCUUCUCACUCUCCAAAAUAUUGUUCUUUACAUACCCCCAAGCUACUCAAAUUUUGUAGGUCAUUGCCCUAAGGAGCCUAGAUGCCCAGGGUUCUGCACUGGGCAGCAACAAGAGUACAGCAAUGGAUGACACAGUCUUACCCUUGGAUUUCACAGGCAGUCUAGGAGCAAACGCCAUGGGAACUUUACCGAUAACCAGAGUGCCUUAUUGUUUUUAAUGUUUAUUUGUUUUUGAGAGAGAAAGAGAGAGAGAGAGUGUGUGAGUGGGGUAGGGGCAGAGAGAGAGAGACAUACAGAAUCCGAAGCAGGAUCCAGGCUCUGAGCUGUCAGCACAGAUCCCGAUGCAGGGCUCGAACCCAUGAACUGCAAGAUCGUGACCUGAGCUUAAGUCGGAAGCUCAACUGACUUGAGCCCCCCAGACACCCCCAGAGUGCCUUAUGAAAGCAGAGGAGGGACAGAUUUCUCCUUGUUCAGGAGGGGAAGAGGAAGUCCUGGGGCAGGUCACAAAGUUUAAGUUCUAAAUGCUGAGGAAGCCCCAUUUGGCCUAUGUUUUACUCUGACAGCCGCAUUGCAGGACGGCUGGGUGGGGGAGGGCUGUUAAGUAGGGAAGAGUCUGUACACCUGCCACGUAUGGCUGUUGGUGGGUUUUUCUUUGUGCUUCUUUUUUUCCUGUUUGCUUAAUGCAUUUUU
Panthera uncia (snow leopard) is the source of this 8352-nucleotide long non-coding RNA. RefSeq lists it as uncharacterized. NCBI's taxonomy places the organism in Eukaryota, Metazoa, Chordata, Mammalia, Carnivora, Felidae. The transcript has 3 exons. The record is from RefSeq and is a predicted model, not a curated record.